This 250-nucleotide ribosomal RNA is filed under the name uncultured prokaryote. Its description in RNAcentral is "partial 16S ribosomal RNA". It matches the Rfam family "Bacterial small subunit ribosomal RNA", at positions 524 to 774 of the family's 1533-position model. The record is from RNAcentral.
UACGUAGGUGGCAAGCGUUAUCCGGAAUUAUUGGGCGUAAAGGGAGAGUAGGCGGUUUAGAAAGUGUAAAGUAAAAGGCUAGUGCUCAACGCUAGUAUGCAUUACAAACUAAUAGACUAGAGUACAGGAGAGGUUAACGGAAUUCCAUGUGUAGCGGUGAAAUGCGUAGAUAUAUGGAGGAACACCGGUGGCGAAGGCGGUUAACUGGACUGGAACUGACGCUGAGGCUCGAAAGCGUGGGGAGCAAAUA